CAGUGCAACGGCCGACUUCCUCUCUGAGAAAUGUUGACACUUUAGCCAUCAACGGUUGUGACCCGGGCAAAGCUAACGUCGCGUUUACUCAUAUUAAACCCCGAGCUGAAGAAGCUCCACAACCUACUCUUCUGGAAUCAAAGCUUCAUUCGCCAACACUGACUGUACAACAGAACCAUACCACAUGUGUCUGCCGACUGUGUGCUGUCCUCGUUGUUCCUCCAAAUGGACCCAGGGUUAAGUGACUUGCUUGGAUGCAGAUAUUGGCCUGCAACCACCAGCUGCCAAAUGCUGUUCAAAUUUGAUGUGUUCACGUCAUUUGAGCAGAUGAAGCUGACCAGCUCAGCCUUAACCAAAUAAGGCUAUGCAAACGGAGGAGACUGGAUAAUCUCAAGAAGAAACUCAAGGAGAGGAUCAUGCACUAAAUACCAUUUGUGCAUCUGAUCAAUCAGCUGAUACAGAAGCAGCAUGCAGUCUCCCUGAUGAUGUUGUUCUGCCCUGGGAUGUGCAAGGAGAUGAAGAGGGAUACAGCGGACUGCACUGCUGUCUUCUUUGCAUAAGCACCACAUUCUUCUGGAGACACUGAGCUCCAUCGCUAGCACCUAUGCAUGUUUUGACAUGGACUCAUCUUUCCUCAUGUUGGAGGAAGACAGAGCAUUGUGAAGAGGAAAGUGAACAGGAUGACAGCAUUUCAGAGCUUUCAGAGGAAAACAUGUAAACAAGCUGUCUAUACAUGGCAGCGUUUAAUGUGUUAACACAUUCACAUGACAAGCUACCAUGCAAAGUUAGCACAACCAGGAGGAGCAAUUUGAACAGUGUUGGAAAAUGUAUUUAGACCACUUUGUGAAUAUACUCCUUUAAAAGUUCUAUACUCCAACUUGACUGUCAAAAAAUGUGUAGAUUGUCAGAAAAUGUACUUCUGUAUGAAAUGUAAAAGGAUGUUUAGUUUAGUAAAAUUUAGCAUUCCUGUAAUGUGUUAGAUUACUGGUACUGCUGUAUAUGUAUGUUUAAAUUAUUUUGGAUGAAGGAGAUUACAAGAAGAUUUCAACAGUGUUAUUUUACUACCUAAGAACUUUGAAUUUGUUCUUAAGUUCUGACAUUACACAACCGAAUUGUAGCAUUUUUAGUUUUUUUUUUUUUUAAAUGCGGUUGUCUUUUUCAACCUUCUGUGACAACACAAGAUACUUUGACCACAUUUUUACUCAAGGAAAUAAAAACAGUUUUAACAGGA
Molecule: long non-coding RNA, 1231 nt
Organism: Amphiprion ocellaris (clown anemonefish)
Lineage: Eukaryota; Metazoa; Chordata; Actinopteri; Pomacentridae
Exons: 3
Source: RefSeq, a predicted model, not a curated record